RNAcentral lists this transfer RNA (63 nucleotides) under Russelliana sp. Its description in RNAcentral is "tRNA-Asn". Lineage: Eukaryota; Metazoa; Arthropoda; Insecta; Hemiptera; Psyllidae. The record is from RNAcentral.
UUGAAUUGAAGUCAAAAUAGAGACAAAUUAUUGUUAAUAAUUUUAAUGAUAAAAUCCUGUUCA